AUUGAACGCUGGCGGCAGGCCUAACACAUGCAAGUCGAGCGAGAGGCGGACGGGGGAGUAAUGUAUGGGGACUGCCCGAUAGAGGGGGAUAACUACUGGAAACGGUAGCUAAUACCGCAUACUCUCGGAUAACACAUAUCGGAUGAGCUAGUAGGUGAGGUAAUGGCUCACCUAGGCGACGAUCCCUAGCUGGUCUGAGAGGAUUAUCAGCCACACUGGGACUGAGACACGGCCCAGAUUCCGAUGGAGGCAGCAGUGGGGAAUAUUGCACAAUGGGCGCAAGCCUGAUGCAGCCAUGCCGCGUGUAUGAAGAAGGCCCUAGGGUUGUAAAGUACUUUCAGUCGGGAGGCGUUACCGACAGAAGAAGCACCGGCUAACUCCGUGCCAGCCGCCGCGGUAAUUC
RNAcentral lists this ribosomal RNA (403 nucleotides) under uncultured bacterium. RNAcentral's name for it is "partial 16S ribosomal RNA". It matches the Rfam family "Bacterial small subunit ribosomal RNA", at positions 30 to 526 of the family's 1533-position model. The record is from RNAcentral.